UACGUAGGGUGCGAGCGUUAAUCGGAAUUACUGGGCGUAAAGCGUGCGCAGGCGGUCUUCCAAGUCAGUGGUGAAAGCCUGGAGCUCAACUCCAGAACUGCCAUUGAAACUGUUAGACUUGAGUACGAGAGAGGUGAGUGGAAUUCCCAGUGUAGAGGUGAAAUUCGUAGAUAUUGGGAAGAACACCAGUGGCGAAGGCGGCUCACUGGCUCGUAACUGACGCUCAGGCGCGACAGCGUGGGGAUCAAACAGG
This 253-nucleotide ribosomal RNA is filed under the name uncultured bacterium. RNAcentral's name for it is "partial 16S ribosomal RNA". It matches the Rfam family "Bacterial small subunit ribosomal RNA", at positions 524 to 776 of the family's 1533-position model. The record is from RNAcentral.